UUCACUCCGCCAUUUUGUGGCAGCCCAUGGAGUCACCCCGCCAUUUUGUGUCGGGCUGUGGGGUCACUCCGCCAUUUUGUGGCAGCCCAUGUAUCACUCUGCCAUUUUAUGGCAAGCCGUGGGGUCACUCCACAAUGUUGUGUCAGGCCAUGGGGUCAUUCCACAAUGUUGUGUCAGCAUUGUGUGUGAAAGUCUGCUUAGAAAGCCCGUGCGUGGAAUGGCAGCAGAGAAGAGCAAGAAGUGCCUGCUUUUUGUGAGGAGGAACACACUGUGCUGUUUCCCCUGCCACAGCCACAGAGCCCUCACCAGCAGUCAUUCACUUCCUUAGCCUGUGAGUGUGCCAAGAUCCAGGAGUUAUCCCAGACCUUGGUCCUUCAGGGGCAAGCCAGCCUGAGGGAUGAAUGAAUACACAUGAGGGAGCAAAGACAAGGCAGGGGAUCAAGCCAGAUGGAAUUGGUAGCAAAGAAGGGAUUGACGUUGACACUGAUGGGAAGGAGAUAGUGCCGUGGUUUGCCCAAAAAUGAGGCAGAACAUUUUCUUUCCUUCUGAGGGAUAUGCAUUGGAAACAGGCAAAGAACAGCUCAGCAAAUGCAUCAGAAAAAGCAGAUGAGCAAUUGAGCCAGUGUUGGUUCACAGCUGUCCAGGGAAUUUCAGGCAAAACAGAUAAUGCCCUAUGUGGAAGGGGCCACAUCCCCCAAGAAGCAGAGGCUCAUCCGAGCAUUCAAAUACCAAACAGAUGGAGAAACCUUUCAAGGGAAUGUACAGAGGGGAAAAAAAAUUGCUGAGGAGUACAAGCUGAGAUUGGGAAGGUGAUGAGAGAAACAACACAACCAGAAUCCUGUCUCCACAACCUGAUGUGAAGAAGAAACCUUACAUCACAGAUCAACUCAUUUUUCUGUCGAUGAUAGAUGAAGGGGAGGACAUACAGCUGUAGGACAAGUACUGAGGGCUGAAGGACAACUAUGUCAACAAGGAAACAAUGCAGGAACGGAGACCUGAAUCAAUAUUCAGUCAGACCCUUUAAUUAUACAGCUCAUUUUUUACUGAUGGAAGUAAAUCCUUGGUUCUGAAGCAACUUGUGCCUAGGGGAAAGGAGUGCAAGAGCCUCUGGUAUUCCCAUUGACAGCAGCUGAUGGGAAGCAUGAUACAGUGAAGAGAGGUAAAACCUUAACCAGUCUGGGAUUCAGGAGCAAUGGAGGCACCCAAGGAGAAGAGAAUAUGAACCUCAGGAGAAGAAAUUGUUUUAGAAACAUCUGUAGAUACAUAUAGAAAGAGAUUUGACCCAUGUUUUUAUCAGGUGAGAGAUCAAAUACAAAAGGAAGUCACUGUGGUAAAGAAUGUAAGGCUGUCAUCAGGCCAUGGAAAAUCUCUUCACAAAUUUCUAUGUUGGAGUUCAGGAACAGAGGAAUGCAAGAUCAAACCAGCUCACAUGCUGCAACACUUAAAGUAGCCUAUUUUAAAAAUAGAAAUCAGAUCUGAUCUCUCUUUGGAAGUAAAGAAAAGUAUUGUGCAGAAAGUUACAAGAAGUUCUGGAUCAGAUUAUGUGGUCAGCAGCCUAAGUGGCUUAAAAUGGUCAAAACUCCAGUAAAAAAAAAAGUCUUUGAAAAGACUGUUCAGACUGCUGUGGGAAUUUGUGUUCAAGUGGUCACAGCAUGACCAGCACCCAGCCCAGAGCAGCUGAAAUGGAGGGCCAGGGCAGCCAGCUGUGGGGUGAAACAUCACUGCCACUGGAGAAUUAAUUAGAGUAUCAGUCAGUGGAAGGUGACACCAAAUUACAGACACUGUGCCGAAGAAAAAGACUCCAAGAGGUUCCUGGCUUUGAGCCCACCUUGGUGGGAGCUGUGUCUCUGUCUGGGAUGCACACAGGAUGUCCACAGAGGCUUGAAGGGAUGGUUCUCAGGGCUGAACCUCUCCUGGGAGUCAGGAAAAACAGAGAGCAGCAGCCUGGCAGCUAAUAAACAGCACGUUACUCUGCAUCUCAUAAAUCUCCACCAAGUUCAUUUAUUCUCCUCUGAGAAUGAAUAACUAAUGAGAAGCCUCCUCUUGCCAGUUACUGUAGCACUACACAGAGCGGGUUGGAUGUGGAGCUGCUAUUAAUAGCACUGAACGAGCUGCUAAUUGGGCAGUUAUGUAAUGGCUUUGUUAUGAAACCUAGUUUGGGUUUGACACCUUCUGUUUGCUAAAAACAACAGUAAAACCCCCAAACAAACCCAGGGUUAGCAGUGCAUGACAUGACAUAAAGGCUGAAUAAUUACCAGUGUUUCAAAACUCAAAUAGAAUUAAAAAGGGGGAAAAAAUCAAUUUGUUUCUCUGAAUUCCAGCAGAAGUGAGCUGGAAGCGAAUCAUACCACAGAUCUGCUGUUCAAAGGGAUACUUCAAAGUAACUUUCUCUAAUACCUGCCCUGCAAAUGCGGACAAAAAUCCUCCAAGCGACCUGUUUCUGCAACUUGUGAAGUCUCAGAAACUAUUUCUUUAAUUUUAAAAGUUGUGCUUUGAAUGAGCACAGACAGAACAUAUUUUAAGGAGAAAGAAGGACCAGAAAUGCCUGUGUGACCCACUCUGGUACAAAUUGUGCACAAGGAUGAGGCAUGAAUCUUUACUCUUGUAAGUGACAAUAGGUAACCUAUACAGUUUGACAUUUUUAAAGUAACUUAAAAAAAAAAAAAGAGAGAGAGAGAGGGACGGGUAGGGAUGACAUUUUGUUCCCUGCUAUACAGAAGGAGAGAAGAUUGCAGUGCAUUAGGAGGGAAGCUUUUAUCCAGGGUGGCCCUUUGGAGUGGCUCUGUCCCUAGUUACUCUGAAGGCUGGGCAUCACUGAUGCAAUUUACAGCCCUGGGAGCUGCUCCUCCUGAUGAAACCCAGCGACUGUGCCCUGCUCGUCAGGUGCUUCUCCUCUGGAGACACCAAACACAGCAGCAUUCAGAGCCUGCAAGAAGGAUCCCUACAGAGGUUUGUAGUUUUAUGUACAGUGUUGUAAUAUACAUAGAAAUGAAAAUGCCUGUCCAGUGAAAUCAACACUGUGCCAGCGGUUGUUUUUGGUCAGUGUUAUCCAUAAUCUUUUGGUGCUGGGGGAGAUCAAGGCUGUCACUCCAGAAGGAGCCCACAGACCAUCCAAAGAACACUUCAUCUGUCUGUUUACAAACACACAUCCUCAUCCUUGUGCAGAGAAGCCCGUGGAAUUUGCCUCCAGCUGAGUCACCUUACAUUUCAGGAAACUGGGCGCAGAUAUUACACUCAGCUCUGCAGAGUUAUUUUCCACUGCUUGUCACUUUACUUUGUCUAGGUAAUGAUAAACCCCCUGGUUUAUCCAGCAUGAUAGAUUAGGAAGGUUUUAUUCCAAUAAAAGAAAACUCCACUUAGUUCCCUCAUUAAUGAAGUGCCCAGAGGAGGCUGGCAAAGGGCUCACAAGGACUGGAUGCACAAUGUCCCAGCACCAUGGUAAUUGCAGCCAGCAUGCCUAAAAAGCUGUGAUAAUUUAGGGUUCAGCGAGUGUUGAAACGAAAAAGACUGGAAAUUGGGUGGUCCAGAUGGCUCCCACAUUUAUCCAGCUAAUUAUCAAGAUGAAGAAUCUCUUGUCCAUUUUAUGUGUGUGUGUAUAUAUAUAUAUGUAUGUGUGACAUAUAUAUGUGUGUGUGUGUAUAUAUGUGCAGAAAUACAUCUAGACACUAUUUACUUCAUUAGGAUAUUUUGGAAUUACCAUGUGGCAAAUAAUAGAAGGAUCUUCUCCUAAAAUAACAUCAGCAAGCUUCCCCACUCCUACACAUGAGCUGAAAGGAGUUUUCUCCUCGGUGCAUGUUUUCACUGGUAGUACAGCUUGCUGGUGUUGUUACUGCUCUUCUGUAGCCUCACGUGUGGGAGCAGCAGGAGGCACCAAGCAGCUCACCAGAGUGUGAUGGUACAUUUACUACAAUUCCCUGUGUAUCCUGCUGAUCCUUGUUUUUCCCAAGAUAAGGCAACCCAAGCCAUCUUGUUGGAAAUGCCUGGAAAUGUUUACAAAGUACUCACCAAAAGCAUUCAGAAGGAAGACUGGGCACAAUUUCAGUGCUGGCAUGCCAGUGUGGGCUCCUGUGUUUCCUGCUUCCCUUGCAGCCCUGGCAGCCUCUGUGGAGUUUGUCAGCCAAGAUCACACUUAGUUCCUCACCUUGAUGAUAUUGAGGCUGUCACAGCCGGCUUUUCCACAUGCAGAUCUUUCUCUUGGGUUUAUGUGGCAAGGUAAUAUUAAAAUGGGUCCUACCAGGCCAGAGAAAUGCACAUAUUUCCCAGAGUCUAUCACCACUGAACCAAAAGUAACAAACCCCUGGGAACUCUGGAAGGAGAAGCGUUUAUCCUUUCUGAGUCAGCCAAUCAUACAGGGUUCAAGACUGGUGCUCAAACUUCCAGAAAUCGUAGAAUCAUGGAAUCACAGAAUGGUUUGGGUUGGAGGGGAUCUCAAAGCUCAUCUCAUUCCAAACUCCUGCCAUGGGCAGGGACACCUUCCAUAGACCAGGUUACUCCAGGCCCCAGGAAACAUUUAAUUCACAGCUUGAAAUAUUUUUUUUUUAGUAAUGUUUAUAUUUCAAAUCCAUGUUAUGAAAGCCAGUAGCAAAAGGUCUUAUUCAUGGAGUGUUACUGACUCUAAUUGCUUGUAAAAAGAACUGUGUAAACAAUGGAAUAUUUUGUUUGCUAAGAAUUCAUUAAAAUUUACUCAGCUCAAAAUAACCAGGACAAGUGCAUUAAAAAGAAAUCACUCUCUUCAAAAGCAUUAUUUUAAAGGUGUAUUCUUAAUUAAGAAUACUUCAAACUAAAAAAAAAAAAAGAGAAGAAAAAUGUAUUCUUUAAAAU
Passer domesticus (house sparrow) is the source of this 4821-nucleotide long non-coding RNA. RefSeq lists it as uncharacterized. The record is from RefSeq and is a predicted model, not a curated record. Lineage: Eukaryota; Metazoa; Chordata; Aves; Passeriformes; Passeridae. The transcript is spliced from 10 exons.